This 260-nucleotide non-coding RNA is filed under the name Tetragonula mellipes. The record is from RNAcentral. Lineage: Eukaryota; Metazoa; Arthropoda; Insecta; Hymenoptera; Apidae.
GAUCUGUUGAACUAGCGAGUUAAUGAGUAAUAAGGAGCGUUGCUAAGACGUGUCCUUAUGUUGUAAACCUAACCUAAACCUUGUUUUCUCAUCUCCUCUUUAAUGUACAAUUUCCCUCGUUAUACGAUAUCUUGUACAUUAAGCCUGGGUUUUGUCGUCCUGGUUCCAGGUAAAAUAAAACGGUGUUUUUCACAUCUUUAACAGGAUAGUCUCGUUAACUCCUAUUUUGAACUUUCCAGAAAAUAAUAAUUGAGCUUUUU